Molecule: unclassified non-coding RNA, 4280 nt
Filed under: Limulus polyphemus (Atlantic horseshoe crab)
Lineage: Eukaryota; Metazoa; Arthropoda; Merostomata; Xiphosura; Limulidae
Description: fucose-1-phosphate guanylyltransferase-like, transcript variant X1
Source: RNAcentral
UAUGUGAAAACGCCCUCUGCAAUACCACCGAUUUGGAACGUGGCUUAACAGUUACUUUGAAGACCGAACAUCGUUUGUCGUUUAAUAAUAGUGCAUGAUUAUUAAACUUUAUUUGAACUCAUGUCAAAGAAGGACGUGGCAGAAGAAAAACACCGGCAAUUAGCUUCGUUCAUGAGAAGAGUGCUGGAUGAUUUUUGCAAAAUUAGAGGAAGAGAAAAGAAAUAUUUUCAUGUACCUUUCUGGGACGUUGUAGCCAUUACAACUGCUGAUGAAGAACAGAAGAGAGCAUUUGAAGAACAAAUUAAAAGAAAGUGUUCCAGUCAUGACCUUCCAUUAGGCAUACCGUUCCAUGUAUUUGCAGAUCCGCCAGGACUAAAAAUUGGAUGUGGAAACUCAACAUUUCUUGCACUUGUUGAACUGCUGGACAUAUAUGGAGACAGACUCUACACUCUGAGAAUUUUGUUGAUUCAUGCUGGUGGACUUAGUCAACGACUUCCUAGUUUAUCCAUCUUAGGCAAACUAUUUUCUCCCAUUCCAACAGGCCAUUCCUUGUUUCAGAUGUUGGACCUAAAGCUUGCUAUGUACAUGCCAUUUCUUAGAAAGAUGCAAUCUGGUGUAUUUGUCACAUGCUCUGAUGAUAUCAUUACGUAUAAUCUAGGGGAAGAAUAUGAAAAUGAACCUGCAUGGUCGUUUACAAAGCCCGGAUUCACUGCUCUUGCACACCCAUCAAAUCUUAACAUUGGUACAAAGCACGGAGUCUAUGUCCUGCCUCCUUUGGAAUUCACUUCUAAAACAUGCUUUCUCAGUUCUUGCAGUCUAGUUCUGCAGAAACCCACAGAGGCAGUAAUGAGAGAGAAAGGUGCUGUGGUUACCAUAUCCACUCCAGAGGGUGAUGAAGAUAUUGUAUACAGUGAUAGUGCUUUCUUCUUUUCCACUGAAGUAACAAAGAAAAUGAUAGACUUCUGUAGGGCAAACAAAUCUUUUAGUUGUGAAAUUGAUGCCUAUGGAGAUUUCCUUCAGGCAUUGGGUUCAUGUGCUGUUCCAGAUUACAUUUACAACUCUUCCACUGUAGUUGAUUCAACUGAGGAGCUAGUUACGGCUCGUCAAAGGAUCUUUCAUUUAUUACAAGGUUGUGACUUGAAUAUUGUUGUAUUACAGCAAUCAAAAUUCUAUCAUAUGGGGACAAUGACAGAGUAUGUUGAGAAUCUCUGUGCCAAUUCCAGUUUUGCUAGAGAACUACAGCUUUCAAAAUUUGCUGAUUCUGCUUUUUGUGGUCCUUGUGCUGGAGAACUUAUGAUUAAUGGUACUGUUAUUCAUUCUCUUAUAAACAGGAGUUCUCAAGUAAGUAAAAAUUCAGUUGUAGAAUAUUGUGAUUUCCGAGUACCAACAUAUGUUUCAGAAAACUGUAUCGUGAGUAACUGCAGAACAGAAAGCCUUGUAUCUGGUGAAAGUUUCAUUAAAGUUCCCUCAUGUAUUUUGCUUCAUACAGUGGCAGUUACUAUCAGUGGUCAUCAUGGUUAUGUUACUGUUGCAUUUAAUUUUCAUGAUGAUAUUAAGAAAAAAUAUCCAUGGGAUGACAGAGGUAAAGUAAUAUUUUUAAACAAAAGACUAGAAGACAUCCCAGCUUCACUGUUGGGAGUAAAUAUCUUGAAGGAUUGUUUUGAUUCUAAAGACAAGUUGUGUUCUUUGUGGGAUGGUAAACUGUUUGAAGUUUGUUCUACCAUGGAAGAAUCAUUUGGAGAGACUCUUCAAAUGGUUAAUGCAAUAAUGGGAUGCCUUGAUACCAGUAACACCCUCAAUAUAACAUCGAGAAAAAAUCCCAAGCUGUCCAUGGUUGAAAUUCUAAAAUACAAAAACAUAACUGCAAUGCUAGAUUUUCGUCAGAAAUUACAUGAAGAAAUUUUGAAGUUUGACUCCACAAGUUAGUGGCUUAACCUGAAGUAUUUCUUGCUAACUUUUGAAACAAUAUAAAUUCUUGGUUUUCAUUACAUCAGAUAAAGCAUGUGAGAUAUUUGAGAUUUUGAAUGUUUAAUUCAUCUAUGUUUUAUUAAAUUUUAUUUGUCUGUUUGUAUUUACUAAAUAUAUUAAUGUAAUGUUAAAGUGUUAUAAAUAAACUUUAAUCGUGAAAUUAGUUUUUCGAAGGUCCAAUACAAUUAUAUGAUAAAAGUAAAUAAUCUACAAUAUAGAUUUUAAUUAAUAAAAGUGUAUUCUUCUUGUUAUUUUAAUGUCAGUUUUGUAAAAAUUACAUUAAAUAUACAUAUUAUUAUGUUUCUUAUAGUUUUUGAAAUAAUAUUCAAUUCCAAGUUUUUGCUUGAAGAGUUAUAUUUCUUAAAUGGGGAAAUAAUCACCUGAACUUACUAAACUCUACUAUGAUGAACUGGAAGCCUGUGUUUUACAAAAAUUGUCUUGUUUUUCAAAGAUUCAGUUUGUGUAGGUGUUUUAACAACUAAAGGGAAAAUGAUAAUUAUUUAAUCACUAGAUAUUCCUGUGUUUGAUAUUAAAUUAAUUGUGCUGCCAAAUCCAUAAGCUAUUUGAUUAAAAGAGUACAGGAAACAAUUAAGUUUGUUUGGAAUAUGCCAAAUGAAUUUGAAGAAGAAUCCUGUGCAGUAAAUUUUAAGAACGUGAUUUAAGAAGGUUAAUCUCAGAAUGUUUUGAAAGCUUUGAAAUAUUCUUGGAUAAGAAGCGUUUAUUAAUAAUUACACUUAGAUUUAUUUUAUUUGUUAUGAACUAAUGGAUAUACAAACAUAUAUCUUAAACUGUGGAACAUCCUAUAAAUUAUUGGAGAUAAUUAAUUAAGAAUAUUUUUUGUAUUGAUAUGUUCAAGUCCAUUAUUGACAUGGAGCCUGUAAAGUUUUAUAUUCCAACUCAGAAACUUGUGUAAAAAAAUCAUCAAUUAACCAAAAACUGUUGAGAUGUUGAUGAAAGAUUAUUAAACAAAGCUUUCUUUUCUGAAAUAAUAGUGUUACAAAUGAAAAGUUACAAACAAUACACAGUAAAAUGGCUUUAUGGAUGGUUUAGUAAAAUUAAAAGUUGCAAACAGUACACAGUAAAUGCCUUUAUAGAUGGUUUAAUGUAAUUAAAACUUGCAAACAAUAUAUGGAAAAAUGCCUUAAUGGAUGAUGUUAAAUGGAAAGUACAUCUUUUAUAGACUGUUGGAAACUUAGUUUAUAAAUCUGUUUCAGAGUGUGAUUUUAUUUAUUAUUUCUUUAAAUCCAUUUUAUAUAAUUCCUUAAAAAUGUUAUUAUGACAUUUUUCCCUGCUUUGGCAUUAUGCUUUAUGUCUGAAGCACAAGUAAAUGUAAUAUUGUCAGUAUAAUAUGCUUGAGAUUUAGAAAUUGUACUUUUUAUUAACUAAAUACACAACCACAGGCUCCUGUUUACCACAGUAUUGUGACAUAUUCAGAAUUGUUUUUACUGUUAGUUAAAGUGCAUCACGCGAAGAAAUAUUCAGUUAACACUUAAGCCAAUUAUUUGUCAGUUUAAUGUUUGAUAAUAUUUAUUGGUAUCGCAAUAUGUUUAAUAAUUGUUCAGGUUAUUUUGUUGAGUAAUAUAUAUUUUUAAUCUUUAAAACUUAUAAUCAUACAUAUAAUAAUCAUUCAGUACUGUAUAUUCAUGUACUUGUAUCUUUGUAAUGAUUCAUUAAGUUUAAAAAGUUACAUCUGGAUGAAAGUAGUAAAGUUAAAGUAUGAAACAUCAUUAACAUACAAACUGUAUUGCUGGGAUAUAGUGUAAAGUUAUUGUUUGUCUACUGCAUAACACACUGGCUUUUCAUGAUGCUUUUCAUAGGGUUGUUUUUUUAUGUAACACUUGCAUUUAUGCUUGAUUUUUUGGGGUUAUAGAAAAUUAACACUUCAUGGAUAUUUCAGUUGUUGGUAUAAAUUAGUUUCUAGAAAAUGGAAAUAAAAAGUUUCCUCUUGCAAAUUUAUGUAAGACACUUUUUUUUUGGCAGAACCAAUUUUGAUAUUACAAUAUUUUAUGUCUGUAACAUCCCAGAUGGAGAACAAUAAAUGUAAAAUACAAAUUGACUUUCAUAUCAGUUGAAAGUGUUUUAUGUAAGACUUUACAAUAUAUUAGAAAAUCAGUACUUUAAGCUAAACAUGGUUUAUUUACUGACAUGUAUCAGGAACCAUGUUUAAAAGGUGUGGAUACAAGCUUACUGAAGUGAUGAACAAUUAAGAAUAUUUUCAGAUCCCCCCAUUCUUCAGCAGUUGACCUUGAUCUAUAUAACUGACAAUCACCCCAAAAAAUUCUGUGGAACUCCAAGGGGAUAUUUCAGUACAC